RNAcentral lists this transfer RNA (69 nucleotides) under Drabescus ineffectus. Its description in RNAcentral is "tRNA-Gln". The record is from RNAcentral. Lineage: Eukaryota; Metazoa; Arthropoda; Insecta; Hemiptera; Cicadellidae.
UGUAUUAUAGUGUAAGAGGCACUCGAAUUUUUGAUUUUCGUGGGUUAAGUUUAAUUCUUAAUGAUACAA